UGAGAAUUUGUGUUCGAAAUAAGAAUAAGAGUGGUGAAACAAUUCUUCUUUUUUUCUUUUUUUUUCGUCAAAGAACCAUACAAUUCAGAAAACAAAUCUUAAAAAAGAAGAAGCAAAAUUUCUUAAAUAAAAGAAACAACAAAUCACUAAUUAACACGUGAACAAUCCCGUCUUAUCUCACCCGCGUUACCGGUUUUAACUCCAACCCGACCCAACUUCGUUAUAGCCGAAAUAAAAGCUUGUCUAAAAGUUGCUUCACUAGAAGCAAAUGAAUUGACAGUUGAUCUAGAUCGUUCAUCAGAGAACAAAACUUGAUCUGACGUGAACAAACCCAUCCCUUUUUG
This 344-nucleotide small RNA is filed under the name Arabidopsis thaliana (thale cress). RNAcentral's name for it is "ATSL105220". The record is from RNAcentral. Lineage: Eukaryota; Viridiplantae; Streptophyta; Magnoliopsida; Brassicales; Brassicaceae.